This 465-nucleotide ribosomal RNA is filed under the name Vreelandella stevensii. RNAcentral describes it as "partial 16S ribosomal RNA". It matches the Rfam family "Bacterial small subunit ribosomal RNA", at positions 338 to 795 of the family's 1533-position model. Lineage: Bacteria; Pseudomonadati; Pseudomonadota; Gammaproteobacteria; Oceanospirillales; Halomonadaceae. The record is from RNAcentral.
CCUACGGGAGGCAGCAGUGGGGAAUAUUGGACAAUGGGGGCAACCCUGAUCCAGCCAUGCCGCGUGUGUGAAGAAGGCCCUCGGGUUGUAAAGCACUUUCAGUGAGGAAGAACGCCUGGUGGUUAAUACCCAUCAGGAAAGACAUCACUCACAGAAGAAGCACCGGCUAACUCCGUGCCAGCAGCCGCGGUAAUACGGAGGGUGCGAGCGUUAAUCGGAAUUACUGGGCAUAAAGCGCGCGUAGGUGGCUUGAUAAGCCGGUUGUGAAAGCCCCGGGCUCAACCUGGGAACGGCAUCCGGAACUGUCAAGCUAGAGUGCAGGAGAGGAAGGUAGAAUUCCCGGUGUAGCGGUGAAAUGCGUAGAGAUCGGGAGGAAUACCAGUGGCGAAGGCGGCCUUCUGGACUGACACUGACACUGAGGUGCGAAAGCGUGGGUAGCAAACAGGAUUAGAUACCCUUGUAGUC